Molecule: ribosomal RNA, 497 nt
Filed under: uncultured bacterium
Lineage: Bacteria
Description: partial 16S ribosomal RNA
Rfam family: Bacterial small subunit ribosomal RNA
Source: RNAcentral
GAUGAACGCUGGCGGCGUGCCUAAUACAUGCAAGUCGAGCGAACGGACGAGAAGCUUGCUUCUCUGAUGUUAGCGGCGGACGGGUGAGUAACACGUGUAUAACCUACCUAUAAGACUGGGAUAACUUCGGGAAACCGUAGCUAAUACCGGAUAAUAUUUUGAACCGCAUGGUUCAAAAGUGAAAGACGGUCUUGCUGUCACUUAUAGAUGGAUCCGCGCUGCAUUAGCUAGUUGGUAAGGUAACGGCUUACCAAGGCAACGAUGCAUAGCCGACCUGAGAGGGUGAUCGGCCACACUGGAACUGAGACACGGUCCAGACUCCUACGGGAGGCAGCAGUAGGGAAUCUUCCGCAGUGGGCGAAAGCCUGACGGAGCAACGCCGCGUGAGUGAUGAAGGUCUUCGGAUCGUAAAACUCUGUUAUUAGGGAAGAACAUAUGUGUAAGUAACUGUGCACAUCUUGACGGUACCUAAUCAGAAAGCCACGGCUAACUACGUG